This is a long non-coding RNA of Oncorhynchus kisutch (coho salmon), 1673 nucleotides long. NCBI's taxonomy places the organism in Eukaryota, Metazoa, Chordata, Actinopteri, Salmoniformes, Salmonidae. The record is from Ensembl.
CUAAGCAGGUUAGGAGAAGGGUUAGCUAAAAGGGUUAGGGGAAGUGUUAGCUAAAAGGGUUAGGGGAAGGGUUAGCUAAGCAGGUUAGGGGAAGGGUUAGCUAAAAGGGUUAGCAAAAAGGGUUAGGGGAGGGUUAGCUUAACGGGUUAGGGGAAUGGUUAGCUAACUUGAUAAGUUUUCUGUGAUGAGAUUCAAACACGCAACCUUGGGGUUGCUAGACGUUCAUGCUAUAUGCCCACUCAUCCACCCCGACCAACCGCCCUACUUUAGUUUUUGCCUUAAGAAACCUGUUUUAUGUAACCAUUAUAGAGGAAAUGAUUGAAUUAACUACCAUGUUGUUUAAUUUAACAUACUAUGCUGUUUUUACUUGGAGAAUUAUCCGGGUCUGGGCGUACAGAUAAGAGACGUUUGGGUGCAACUGCAGUAUGUGAGAUCCUGUUUUAACAAUCUACAGGAACUUUGAUGUGUGAAAACUAUAAGGGAAAUGUUACGUAUUUACCUGCUUUGUUGAAUAUUGAUUGUUGAAUUAUAUGCUUAACAAUAGUAAGAGAUUUUCAUAACUACAAAUGCUGUGCUUCUGUAAAGGGAUGGUUCCCCUCUAGCUCCCUGCAGCUGGUCUGUUGGUAUAGUCAAGGACAUGGUGUGAGCCGAGAUCGAGAUAGCCUGAGAAAUAGAACAAACCCCUAUUUGUUUCUAAUCAUCUAUGCUUCUGAGAAACUAAGCCAGGGUACGGGGAAACAACACCCGGUGAACAUAACCACAAGAUGAACCCAAGGUAGCUUAUGAUGCCUCGAUCUGCAUGGGAGGGGUGGAACCAGCCAUGACUAAGCAUUUCUAGGUCUGCUAUAUAGAACCUCUGUUUCUUCUGUACCGUUGAGCUCUCUGUCUUACACUCAAGAGUGUGGGGUCGACCAGCUUCAUUAUUGCAAUUCUUAUUAAAUAAAGAUGAUCGUUUGAAGAAAUGAGUCUCUCUUGGUUAGAAUGUCCUGCUUAACAUUCAGGUAACACACAGACACAGAAACACACACACAGACACGCACACAAACACACCGACACAUGCACAUACACUUGCGCACACACAAACAAACACACACACACACUACUCAGCUGUUCACAUUUGUCUUGAUUGACAUGUUUUUCAGUUAGUUUGUUGUUGUUGUUGAUGUUAAACAGGUCCUUCAGUUUAUAGUGACUGUGUAUCUAUAGGGGGGGUUGUAUUAUUUUUACCAUAUCCAAUGUGUUAUAUUCUCCUACAUUCAUUUCACUUUUCCACAAAUUUCCCAGUGUUUCCUUUCAAAUGGUAUCAUGAAUAUGCAUAUCUUUGCUUCAGGUCCUGAGCUACAGGCAGUUAGAUUUGGGUAUGUCAAUUUAGGCGAAAAUUGAAAAAAAAGGGUACGAUCCUUAAGAGUGCUGCCUUUAAAUAUUUAAUUGAGUUUGAUAGUGCUGUCAUUGUGUAAUGCCUGACAUUGGUGAUAAGUGAUUGAUUGUCUGUAAAUUAGGAUUUCUUGAUUCUUCACAAUGGCACCCUCCUCUGGUUAUCUUGAGUGACACAGGUGAGUUUUAUACAUACAGAGUAGCAUUCUGUUUGUGAGAUGUGGCGUAAGUGAUGUUAUGGGUAUAGGCCUAUGAAAUGCUUUGAUUAAGCUCCAUUAUGUGUCUUUCAUAUUUGAGUG